This is a long non-coding RNA of Notolabrus celidotus (New Zealand spotty), 298 nucleotides long. RefSeq lists it as uncharacterized. The transcript is spliced from 3 exons. NCBI's taxonomy places the organism in Eukaryota, Metazoa, Chordata, Actinopteri, Labriformes, Labridae. The record is from RefSeq and is a predicted model, not a curated record.
ACAGUGCAUCGUGGAGUCCGCGGCGCUUAAGGCUCGUCCAAACAGUGCUCCUCCUGUUGAGGAAAUGAAAGAGAGUGACAGGAAGAGACAUGGGGACAGAGGAGGCAUGUUUGCAAAAUGAGAAAUCCUUCCCUCCACAGCCGCGUCAGGUGAUGAGCUGCACAGCUGUUACUCAUGUCGAACCCACAGAGUCCUUCAACAUCUGCGGGGCGAUCCAUCUCUGAUCUAUUGAGGUCUGGCUCUGUGCUCUCUUGUCCGUCAACACCCACUGGUUGCGUUUUCGGAACCCAGCACGGAG